ACUCUUAGCGGUGGAUCACUUGGCUCGUGGAUCGAUGAAGAACGCAGCUAGCUGCGAUAAAUAGUGCGAAUUGCAGACGCAUUGAGCACAAAGAUUUCGAAUGCACAUUGCACGAUCGGGUUGAUUCCCGAUGGUACGUCUGGUUGAGGGUCAAUAUCGAUCAGAUUAUCAAAUAAUAUACUAAAAUUAAUACAUAUAUACAUAUGAAUAAUAUAUGUUUUGGAUAUAUUAUUUGUUAAAAUUAAUUCAUCAGGUGAUGAUGUGAUGAUAAUCAUUGAAAAAUGACAAAAUCCUCUGAUUAAGUAUAAUAAAAAUAGUAAGUAAAAAAGCAAAUACUUUUUACUUACAAAAUAUUUACAUAUUGGAAUAAAUAAUUUAAUCUUUCAUAUAUAUAACUGAUACAUCAUAAAUAUAUAUAGCAAAAGAAAGAUAUAAAUUAUUAUCAUUUUUUGAUCAUUAUUGCUAUAAUUAUUAUGCUGCUUGUUUAACUAUAAUAAUAGCAAUGAAUGAAUCAAAAUUUAAAUGAUACGUUAAAAUCCAACCAAUAUGUUAUAAAUUUUCUUUCAUUUUUGACCUCAACUCAGUCGUGAUUACCCGCUGAAUUUAAGCAUAUAACUAAGCGGAGGAAAAGAAACUAACGAGGAUUUCCUUAGUAACGGCGAGUGAAAAGGAAAAAGCCCAACGCUGAAUCCAAUAGUUAUUUAAACUAUAUGGAAAUGUAGCGUAUAAGUAUAACUAUUCGUAGCAUAUUUUACACCCAAAGUCCCCUUGAGCGGGGCUACAGUCCAUAGAAGGUGCUAGACCUGUACGGGUGAAAAAGUUACGAUAUGUUAUACUUUGGAGUCGGGUUGUUUGAGAUUGCAGCCCAAAGAGGGUGGUAAACCUCAUCUAAGGCUAAAUAUGACCACGAGACCGAUAGCAAACAAGUACCGUGAGGGAAAGUUGCAAAGAACUUUGAAGAGAGAGUUCAAGAGGGCGUGAAACCGCUGAGAUGGAAACGGAUAGAGUUAACGAAACAUAUCGAUAUUCAACCAAUCAAUUUAGCAAAUCUUAAUUUCAUUUAUUAUUCAUUUUUGAAUAAAAUGAUAUAAUAAGAUAGAAGUGCUUUUAUAUGAUUAGUGUAUUUAUCGAUUGUAUGCAUUGAGAGCUUCAUUUAAGCAUAUUAAUACAAUCAUUUAGUGGACCAAUUUUUUAAUCUAAUAAUUAAUAAUUGGAAUCCUAAAUAAUGUUGAAAUAUGUCUUAGAUGAAGUUUAAAUAAUAAAAUGUAACUUUCACUUGAAAUAAUAGUGACAUGCAUCGAUUAUAAUUUUUACUAAUUACAUUUACAUGUGGUCGCAUGCGACUUAUCGGUAAAUGGAUUAAUUUUUUAAAAGAAUUAGUAAAUUUAUUGUAUGCAUUUACAUGUAAUAUUAUAUGUAUAUAAAGUUACAUCUCAAUGUACACGGACCAGCAGGACGGUGGCCAUGGAAGUUGGAAACCGCUAAGGAAUGUGUAACAACUCACCUACCAAAUUAACUAUCCCUGAAAUGGAUGGCGCUUGAGCGGAAGACUUAUACUCAACCACUGCAUGGCUUGUAUUUAAAUUAAAUAAAAAAAACAAAAAAACCUGGCCACAACGAGUAAGAGUUUCGCAAUGGUUAGCGUUAAAGACUUUGGGCAUAGGCCCAAUUGGAGCUUCCAUUAGUGCAGAUCUUGGUGGUAGCAACAAAUAUUCAAAUGAGAUCCUUGAAGACUGAAGUGGAGAAGGGUUCCACGAACAGCAAAUGAAUGUGGGUCAGUCGAUCCUAUGAACUUGGCCAAUGCCGUUUAAUAAAAUAGAGGAAUAGAGGUGUAAUCCAUCAGAUAGAAUCGAAAAAGAAACAGGUUAAUAUUUCCUACGUGGACACGGAGGUAAAUGGUCAUCGUGAGAAUUUAGCGCGGUAACGCAAAUGAACUCAAAGACAUUGAGGAAGGCCCGAGCCAGUGAUCUCUUUUAUGAUUAAGGAACGGACUCCCUGAAAUCGGUUCAGCCGGAGAUAGGGAAGUUGUUUCCGUAAAGCGCCACGGUUCCUGUGGUGUCUCGUGCGCUUUGUUCGAUCCAUGAAAAUCCGAGGGAAGCUAUUUGAAUUUCGUGCCAGAUCGUACCCAUAUCCGCAGCAGGUCUGCAAGAUAAACAGCCUCUAGUCGAUAGAAUAAUGUAGGUAAGGGAAGUCGGCAAAUUAGAUCCGUAACUUGGGGAUAAGGAUUGGCUCUAAGGACUGGGCCGGUCGGGCUGUAAUGUGAAGUGAGUAUGAUUUGAUCCAUGCAAUGUAACAUUAAUGCUUAAAAAUCAUUGAUGAAACCCGGUUAGUAUUCGAACUGUCUUAUGGACCGUUAUAGCUGUGUAUCACAUUUACUUUUUUUUCCAAAAAAAUGAAUGUUUAAUUGAUAUUUCGGCCGGCGUCAAACAGUUAACUUAGAACUGGCAUGGACUCGGGGAAUCCGACUGUCUAAUUAAAACAAAGGAGACAGAUGGCCCUUGGGGCGUUGACUGUCUCUGAUUUCUGCCCAGUGCUCUGAAUGUAAAAGUGAAGAAAUUCAACCAAGCGCGGGUAAACGGCGGGAGUAACUAUGACUCUCUUAAGGUAGCCAAAUUCCUUGUCAUCUAAUUCGUGACGCGCAUGAAUGGAUUAACGAGAUUCCCACUGUCCCUAUCUACUAUCUAGCGAAACCACAGCCAAGGGAACGGGCUUGGUAAACACAGCGGGGAAAGAAGACCCUGUUGAACAUUUAAAACAUUAAAUAUAUUUAUGCUUAAGCAAAAUUUUUGUAUGCAUCAUUAAAAUUCGGUUAUCGUCGGUAAAAACUAAAGAUAUUGAUUAUAUAUAAGUAUAUCAAAAGAUUAAAUGAGACAUGUUUGUAAAAUUAAAAGAUUUAAUCAUUAUAUGCUGGGUGUCAAAGGAGCAGAGGAUAAAAGAGGAAGAGAAUCAAAGAUUUUAAAAGAAGUGAAUUUCGAUCGAUGGGGUCAGUUCUAUUAGUUUGAUAGGUAUCAGCAACCAGCAUCAGAGUCCAGCGAGCGGCUUCGAUGAUCCAACAACAGAAGCGACAGUUCCAGCAACAAAAAAAAUUGGAAGAUCGACGGCAAUAACAAAGAUUUACGAUAAUCCUAUUAACAUUCGAACAACUAUUAUAUCCUUUAUUCUUUUACUGUACAUUAUUAAUUUAAGAGGUACUGUAAUUUUAACCCCUUUGUGUAAUCCAUAUCAUUGUUUAAUUCGUAUCGUUGUUUUGACCCAUAGCUUUGUUCAAUUCAUACCAUUAUGUAUGUGUUAUAACAUUUAUAACUUGAUAAAAAAAGCCUAUUGUUGACUUAGCCGAGUCACCAUAAUAAACGAUCAACCUCAUCCCAAGAAUAAAAAAGAUCCUCUCUUCUAAUUCUCAUAGGAUGGAAGACGAAAAAUAUUUUCUUUCUCUUAAAAAUUUUUUUAUUUGCAAUAUUUACAUAAAAUUUGUGCAAUACAUAUUUAAUGAAUUGACGCCAUUUAAUGGAUUCUUUCUUUUUAUACUAUCUCAAUCCAGAAUUUCACAGUAGAAUGUAGACUGCUAGCGACAUUUAUAAAACUGUACGUAAAAAUUUGAAAAUAUUUUCUUUCAAAUAACAAUAAUCUGCUAUUCUAUUGUUAAAUGUCAAAAUUUGAAUCUGUUGUACUUUGAUCCGUUAAACCUCCUACACGUGAUCUCAAAUUAUUGCUAUAUUCGGACUCUUCUUUGCAUCAUAAAAAUACAAAUAUAUAAAAAGAUUUUUUUGCCAUUUGUACAAUAUCAUCCAUAAACAAUGAUAGGAAAAUAGUUCUUUUAUUUUCUUCAUUUUUUUGAAUUUCUGAAUUUUUGUUUAUGUGUAUAAAUCUUUCUCCCGAACUUAAACUAUACACGAUCAAUCAUGGAGAAAGAUCAAUCCAUCAGAAAAAUUACUGCGUUGAUAUAUUAUCGAACAGCAAUAUUCCAUUCUUAUUCUAGCAUAAUGUUUUGUUUUGUCACAAAGGCAAAGACUUAUGCUUGUCACCAUUGAUGGAUUUUCCUUUUCUAUGAUUAACUGUAUUAUUUGAAGUGCUGGGAAUCACUGAAUAAAAUUCAGUAUGUAUUAUUUAUAGCAGUGUUAGAAAUGUAGAGCAGACCAAAAGCUGUCGAUAAUGCAAUAUUACUUAAAUUAUUUAUUCAUUUUUUGAUCUAUGAAGAAAUUAGACAAUCGAUGAAAUCAAUUUUAAUAAAUAUGAUGCUCGUGAUUAAACUGAUAUUUAAAAUGAAAAUUUUAAUACGCGCAAAGAAAAAAUUGGUUGUUAUUUUUAUGAAUAGAACUUCUCGACGGUGAGCUUAUUCGGAAAGCGACCAAUGUUUUUAACAAAUAUAACUAGCGUUUCAAAACUCAAUUUUUUCCCUUUGUAUGCUUUGAGGACCCUGCAAUAUUAAUUUUAAAAGAUAUUUUUAAUAUAACAUUAACUUUAAAGGAUAUAGACCAUUGCGAAUCGAAGCAACGGUAAAUAUCUUUUAAAGUUAGUAUCAGAAUGAAGAACAUUAUAGCUGAAACUUCAGGAAAAAAAAACCUUUUAAGUCAUACAUUUCAAUAUUUUUAUAGCCAAAAUCUUUUAAAAAAAGAUUAAGAAUUUAAUAAAUAAAAAUUGAAAUUUAUGAAGUUUCGUGAUUUUAGAUAAUUUAUCCUAGCAAGCUAAAAACAGCUUAUUUGAAUUAUUAAAUGGGUUCGCUGUUUAAAAUGAUAUUGAAGCGAAACUUCAUCGAUAUCGAAAGACGAAGACAGCAAAGAAUUGUCAAUCACUGGUACUUCUUCUGAAUAUAGAAUUUCUGGCAAACUCAGAAGCGAAAUUUGGUGAUAUCAGUUUUUGUACUUCUUGAGAAGUCGAUGAAUAUCUGAAAUGAUUUAUAAGGGAUGUUAAUGGAAGAAUUCAUCAACUUUCAUGAAAGUUGUCAUGGGAAAAUUAAUAUGUAUGUCAAAAAUUCUUUAUGCACACCUGCAAGAAAGUAUUCUGCGUAUAUUCGUAUUUUGUUGAAAGAUUAAUUUUGAAUACAGACAUGUUCGAUGAUCACCUGAUCAAGAGUAGUUUGACUGAUCGAAUAAUCCACUAAACUGGCUAAUUCUGCAAAUUUUGCAACCUUCUCAAAGAGCAUUGACCAUGUCUCUCCCUUCUGCAUUGCUAAUUUGUAAUUCAAGUGCAAUAUAUGCUCAUCCUAAAAAUUUUUGCAAAAUUUUGUUAACAGCAAAAUUUAUUGCAAAUUCUGAAGCGUUAAAAUUUAAAAUUUUUUCUUUGCUCACUCCAAUUCGUUCUGAAAUAAGAAUAUUCGGAUACCAUCAAUCGGGCAUCGGGAAACAUUUUUUAAUCAAUUCUUUUGUUGGUCCAAUCUGACUGCUUGUGCUUAAUCGUAUUGCUAAACUAUAUCCGCUACUGUAUCUGAAAAUAACUAAUUCGAUAAAGUUGGACAAAUUCUAUUGUAUCGAUUUUAGCAGUUUGUUCAAUUUUUUUAAAUCAGCAUGCACUAUUUUCAAUGUCUAUUUCGGAACUGUGAUCAGAAACAAUUUGUAAAAAAAAAAUUACUUUGAUAUUAAAUUUGUUACUAAAAUCGUAAUUUUUUAUUUAACAGAACCAAUGAUUUUUACUUCGAUUUGAUGUGUUGUGUACUGCCAAGACAUCUGAAUUCACCAUUUGUCAUAAUUGCUAUUCGUGUACAAAGUGCUUCGCACUCCUCCAUACUAUGCGAAGUUAACACCAAGGCAGUAUCACUUUCUCUAAUCUUAAAUAAUUAUCCUGAAUGGUAAUUAAAUUAAAACAAAAUACGCUGAAAUAAUUUAAAAGGUGAACUUUAAAUUUUCUCCUUUUUCAUUUAUUCGUCUAUUUUCAAAAUGAUUUUUAAACUUACUUUUGACAGAAUAUCCCAAAUAAGAUGACUUCCUUUGGAUCAAUUCCAGUUGUUGGUUCAUCCAAUAGCAGAACAUCAGGUAACGUUAAUAAGGCAAUGCCAAGACUUAAACGCCGUUUGUUGCCACCAAUGAAAUUAAAAUUAUUUUUACAACAAAAUUUAGUUUUAUCUUAUUUUCUUCUUCUCUGUUUAAUUUAUCUUCAUCUUCUCUUUUCACUUUAUUUUUUAUCUGCCUUUCCUUCCUUGA
Dirofilaria immitis (dog heartworm nematode) is the source of this 6134-nucleotide non-coding RNA. The record is from the annotation of a GenBank genome assembly. Lineage: Eukaryota; Metazoa; Nematoda; Chromadorea; Rhabditida; Onchocercidae.